UACGAACCGUACGAACGUUAUUCGGAAUCACUGGGCUUAAAGGGUGCGUAGGCGGCGCGACAAGUUGGGUGUGAAAUCCCUCGGCUCAACCGAGGAACUGCGCCCAAAACUGUCGUGCUCGAGGGAGACAGAGGUGAGCGGAACUUAGGGUGGAGCGGUGAAAUGCGUUGAUAUCCUAAGGAACACCGGUGGCGAAAGCGGCUCACUGGGUCUCUGCUGACGCUGAGGCACGAAAGCUAGGGUAGCGAACGGG
Molecule: ribosomal RNA, 253 nt
Filed under: uncultured bacterium
Lineage: Bacteria
Description: partial 16S ribosomal RNA
Rfam family: Bacterial small subunit ribosomal RNA
Source: RNAcentral